This 3529-nucleotide unclassified non-coding RNA is filed under the name Homarus americanus (American lobster). Its description in RNAcentral is "uncharacterized LOC121865051, transcript variant X2". The record is from RNAcentral. Lineage: Eukaryota; Metazoa; Arthropoda; Malacostraca; Decapoda; Nephropidae.
AUGGCAGAGUGUGAAAAUGGUAUUCAGACAUUAUCAUCGCUCUCGAUUGAAAACAGUAUUGUGUUUUUGCAGGAGUUAGUUUGUCGUUUUGUGAAUAUUGAAUUUAGUGAAUCUUGUGCUGCAUUCUUACGAGAGUUAAUGAGGUCGAUUCCUCCAAACUUCCACGCCGAGUUCCUCGAUAAAUUAGCUCCGAUUUUUGACAACGUUACGGAGGCUCCCUUAGAUAAAAAUAUACUUGACGUUAUAGAUGAGUUGGCAUUAAUGUUGUUAUCGCCGUCUAUAACGCAGAUUGAUGUUGAUAAGUUCAAGUUUCCCACGAGAAAUCCUUCCAAAUAUUUAAUGGCUCUGGAACAUGCCAAGAGCCUCAGAAUGCUAAUCAGCUAUCGAGAAAAUGUGUGGAAAUAUUCUCUAAGUAAAUUUGAACUUCUCUGCUCAGCGGUGACUAAAAUGUCAAUGCUGAGGCACCUAACGUUACGCCAUAUUAAAAUUGCCAGCUACAAAAUUAAUGAGCUGUUAUUGGGUUUGGCUUUAAAUAGUCCUCAUCUCUCAUAUUUGGACUUAAAGUUUGGUGCAUUAACAGACUCAGGACUUGAUCCAGGGUCGUUGGAGAAGUUUGGAAAAAUUGCACAUUUCUCCGAUUGUAUUCCUGCUUUGUUGAUGAUGAAAAACCUGCAACAUCUCAACGUAAGCGAGACGUGGUUAACGUAUGUGGGUGUAAAGGCAAUAGUGAAGCAUUUAGACCUCAAGAGACUAGACGCCGUAGUAGAUGGUGGAUACGAUCUCCAGGCCGUAGUGAUAAAGGAUUUGCUAGCGGCACCCCAAGACACCCCAUUCUCACUAUCCAGAACAGCAUAUACUCUUGCUCACGAGGAAUUGGGUAUACAAGCUAUCUGUAAAGCGUGUCCACUACUAGAACACGUCACCAUACAACACUGUAGCGUUGGACUAGUCAAGUCUCAUUUCCUCGCUCUUUCAACCCUCCAACAUUUAAAGAAGGUCACAUUGUGUGGUCUGGAAUGGUUACUCCUUCACUCCCACAUUGCAAUCAACGAGGACCCCAUGCCCAUCAGCCACCUGGUGACGGAGAUAACGAUGACAGAACCCUCGUGUGCCGACGCGACGCACCUCGGUUCCUUGUCUAUAUGUUUCCCACAAGUGACUCACCUGUGGGUGCUCGGAUCACAGGACAAUAAGAGCGGCGAACCCUGGGAUGGAGGCCGAGUCUUCACCAAAUUGACUCAUCUUUACUACCAGGGUUCGCUCUUUAUUGGAGAUUUUGGCAGAAUUGAGAGAGAACAAGGGCUGCAGAAUGUGCUUGAUGUCUUACUUGCAUGGUGCAAAAACCUGAGGAGUCUCACCCUCUACACUAACUACAUCGAGAGCUCUAUGGCAAUUUGGCGCCCCCCUUACCUUGGGGUCCAGGGAGGCUGCCCCUUCUGCCACCCACUAGUUAAGCUUUGCCAUAAGAAGAAAUGGGCUACAUAGACUGGAGGAACUAAGACUUGGUUUGCAGCAUGAUCUGAAUUGCGACAUAAUAAUGGACGUGCUGCGAACUACUAACGAUCUCAGAAUUCUGGGUCGGACUGACUGGUGGACGUCCAUGGAAGAAGAUUCAAAAGUCUUCACCAUCACGCUCUUGAAAUUGAGAUUUAGGAACCUUGUGGUGUUUGGACUAGAUUAUUGUGGUGAAGUGGACAAUGACCCACGACCUCCAAAGAAUAAUUCCAAUAAUGUUGUGUGGUAACUGAUCGAAUACUGUCGCUGGCUGACAAGUGUAUAAUGGUGUAAGUGCAAUGCUUGCUCACACUUUCAUAUUGGUUUUAUAAAUUUUUCAUAGUUGCCUGUAGAGGAGAUAUUAUAAGGCUUCAUCCAUCUUCAUAAGAAAUGUAAAGUGAAUUAGUGUUUGUGUUUUAUGCAUUUUUUUUUAUUUAUACUGCAGUAAAUCAGCUUGCUGCUCGGAGGCAAGCAGUCAACAUGGAGUCAUCCCAUAAAAUAAGUUUUUCCUCAUUUGCUGAAUUGUCCAUCAAAACAAAGAAAAAGUAAUAAAAAGCUUUUUUGAUAAAACAAUUUUUGAUGAGAACCUUAGAAAGUCUCAGUUAUGAUUAGAGUUGCUGAGUCAUCUUAAGUAGAUGUAGAACACAAUGCAUUUUUAAAUUACCAGUAGCUGCAAGAUACAUCAUGUACUGUAUGUUGAAUGUGAUUUUAUUAUAAUCUACUGAUGCUGUGAAAUUAUGGCCUCUGCUUGACACAGAUAUCCAAUUAUUGUGACUUACUGUUAUACUGUACUGUACGUGGUGAAGGGCCGCAGCAGUAGGCUGGUCGGUGUCCUCGGUGUCCGUCUUGCUGAUGAUGUACGUCAGCUGCAUAAUACCUGUAUAAGGAUAGCAGGAGCUGCAAUACAGCAUUUCACACUUUGAAUACAUCAUCACUAUCAACACCCUAGAACUGCUCUUUCUUGAAGGGUUGAAAGGUCAGGUCACAACUUUGAAAAAGUACCGCCUGCCAUGAGUUGGCACCUCACUCAAGUGCAGAAUAGUUCUUGAUGUAUCCAAGACAAUGAAAUACAGUAAUGGCUCUUGCAUGCUUGUGACACUCAAGCACUGAUACAGCUUAUGUAACUCACAAGUCCUCAGAGGGAGUCUUAACAAAAUCAUCACAUUCAAUAGAUAUGUUUACUUAAUUAAAUCUAGUUUAAUGUCAAAGAUUGCUGUUGUAUUUAUUUACAUGUCAAGCGAGGGGACACCCAUGGGAGGUGUGGCAGCAUAUGUGUGCUCUCUCCCAGAGUUAUACAAUAUGUUAAAAAAACAGUGUGAUGAUCAAUUGUAGAUAGCAUCUUAAACUAUUGUUAUCUUGUGAUGUUAGUUGAAACAUCAUACUUUUGCAUUUAAUGACAAAGUCUACCUACAUUGUGUGUUCAUACAUGUAUGCACUAUUUUUUCUUUUUGUUAUUUUUCUUGAAUAUUGUACAAGCUUUUUCUUGCUAUGAUACAGGUUAGCUAGACAGGUGCUGACUUCCUGGCUCAUAGCAUUUAGCAGCUAGUGAGUCUCCUCAGCCCCUUAGUGUGAUGGUAGUCCACCAAAAAGACUUAGUGCAUCGGGUCUAGUUUACAGGAAAGGAACCAUAUUAUUUGCACAGUUACACAAGGUAAAGCACUUAUUUUACAUCAUUUAUAUACAGACUUCCUUCUUACAGAUGAAUACAAGGAUGACAAGAUGUCCCUAAACUGUAGGGCAGUGUUGAACUACCCACUUGUGACUUGUUCCUUAAAGGGAUCUACACCAUUGUAACAAUGUGGGUAAUGUGUUGGCAACUUUAUUUUUAAAUUACUCGCAAUAUUUGCAACAUUAGUGUUAGGAACAGUGUUUCCAACAGAAACAUGUUGAUGACAGUAUUACCAACAUUGUUGCUUUGGUUUAGAUCCACCUUAACAGAAAAGUGUGUCAGGUUGGUUACUCUAAAACACACACACACACACACAGACACAUACACACGGACACAUACACACUCACACACACACACACACACACA